This 71-nucleotide transfer RNA is filed under the name Bacteroidia bacterium. RNAcentral's name for it is "tRNA-Cys". It matches the Rfam family "tRNA". Rfam says of the family: Transfer RNA (tRNA) molecules are approximately 80 nucleotides in length. Their secondary structure includes four short double-helical elements and three loops (D, anti-codon, and T loops). The record is from RNAcentral. Lineage: Bacteria; Pseudomonadati; Bacteroidota; Bacteroidia.
GGUCGGAUGGCCGAGUGGCUAGGCAAGGGUCUGCAACACCCUCUACAGCGGUUCGAAUCCGCUUCCGACCU